Non-coding RNA from Treponema berlinense, 82 nucleotides. Lineage: Bacteria; Pseudomonadati; Spirochaetota; Spirochaetia; Treponematales; Treponemataceae. The record is from Rfam.
GCGGGGAUGGUGGAAUUGGUAGACACGCCAGCUUGAGGUGCUGGUGACGCAAGUCGUGGCUGUUCAAGUCAGCUUCUCCGCA